This 253-nucleotide ribosomal RNA is filed under the name uncultured bacterium. RNAcentral describes it as "partial 16S ribosomal RNA". It matches the Rfam family "Bacterial small subunit ribosomal RNA", at positions 524 to 776 of the family's 1533-position model. The record is from RNAcentral.
UACGAAGGGGGCUAGCGUUGCUCGGAAUCACUGGGCGUAAAGGGUGCGUAGGCGGGUCUUUAAGUCAGGGGUGAAAUCCUGGAGCUCAACUCCAGAACUGCCUUUGAUACUGAGGGUCUCGAGACCGGUAGAGGUAAGUGGAACUGCGAGUGUAGAGGUGAAAUUCGUAGAUAUUCGGAAGAACACCAGUGGCGAAGGCGAGUCCCUGGACACUUCCUGACACUGAGGCACGAAAGCUAGGGGAGCAAACAGG